This 146-nucleotide non-coding RNA is filed under the name bovine gut metagenome. The record is from RNAcentral.
GAGGGACUUGGAUUCUCUUGACAUUUGCCGCAAUAUCAGCAAGGAUUUGCCUGGAUGGCAAAUCCAAGUUCCAUGCGCCAUGGAUGGCGCAUUGGAACUGGUUGCGUACGGUCGAAAUAAUCUUGCGCAAAUGCUUAGAGAAGCCA